GGUGACCUGCCCCUGCACUUCGGGAUAAGCCUGGGAACACUGGGUCUAAUACCGGACUAGGACCGCACCGUGACGUGGUGUGGUGGAAAUUUUUUCGGUUGGGAUGGGCCCCGGCCUAUCAGCUUGUUGCUGGGGUAAUGGCCUACCAAGGCGGCGACGGGUACCGGCCUGAGAGGGUGGACGGCCACAUUGGGACUGAGACACGGCCCAGACUCCUACGGGAGGCAGCAGUGGGGAAUAUUGCACAAUGGGCGGAAGCCUGAUGCAGCGACGCCGCGUGGGGGAUGACGGCCUUCGGGUUGUAAACUCCUUUCACCAUCGACGAAGGGUUUCUGACGGUAGAUGGAGAAGAAGCACCGGCUAACUACGUGCCAGCAGCCGCGGUAAUACGUAGGGUGCGAGCGUUGUCCGGAAUUACUGGGCGUAAAGAGCUCGUAGGUGGUUUGUCGCGUCGUCUGUGAAAUUCCGGGGCUUAACUCCGGGCGUGCAGGCGAUACGGGCAUAACUUGAGUACUGUAGGGGAGACUGGAAUUCCCGGUGUAGCGGUGAAAUGCGCAGAUAUCAGGAGGAACACCGGUGGCGAAGGCGGGUCUCUGGGCAGUAACUGACGCUGAGGAGCGAAAGCAUGGGGAGCGAACAGGAUUAGAUACCCUGGUAGUCCAUGCCGUAAACGGUGGGCGCUAGGUGUGGGUUUCCUUCCACGGGAUCCGUGCCGUAGCUAACGCAUUAAGCGCCCCGCCUGGGGAGUACGCCGCAAGGCUA
This 762-nucleotide ribosomal RNA is filed under the name uncultured Actinomycetes bacterium. RNAcentral describes it as "bacterial SSU rRNA". It matches the Rfam family "Bacterial small subunit ribosomal RNA", at positions 120 to 896 of the family's 1533-position model. Lineage: Bacteria; Bacillati; Actinomycetota; Actinomycetes. The record is from RNAcentral.